Molecule: ribosomal RNA, 253 nt
Filed under: uncultured bacterium
Lineage: Bacteria
Description: partial 16S ribosomal RNA
Rfam family: Bacterial small subunit ribosomal RNA
Source: RNAcentral
GACGUAGGGCGCGAGCGUUGUCCGGAUUUAUUGGGCGUAAAGAGCUCGUAGGCGGCUUGUCGCGUCGUCCGUGAAAACCCACAGCUCAACUGUGGGCUUGCGGUCGAUACGGGCAGGCUAGAGUUCGGUAGGGGAGACUGGAAUUCCUGGUGUAGCGGUGAAAUGCGCAGAUAUCAGGAGGAACACCAGUGGCGAAGGCGGCUCACUGGCCCGGUACUGACGCUGAGGUGCGAAAGCGUGGGGAGCAAACAGG